AUGGCCAGUGCCUGCACAAACGCCACCACUACCGUGCGUUCUGUGCGGCUGUUCAGGAUCGACGGUUUCAGCUUGGUGUCCAGCACCAUGGGCCACGACGAGUGCUUCAAAUUUAGGUGGGACGUCGAUGGGUACGAGUGGGAACUCCAUUGCUUUCCCUCGUAUUUUUCGGCGGUAUGGCUCAAGCUUAUGUUCCUCAGUGAUGCCGACGCCACAUGCAACGUGAGGGCGAGUCUGGGCUAUCUCCUCGUACAUCCAGGGCUGGAUGGAUUAUCCCAAGAGAGGCGAACGUCUGAUGUAUUCAAGCGUCCAAAUGACUGCACACAACAAGUCUACCUCGUGAAUAAAGUCGAUCUACCAGUGCCUAGCCGUUCGAGUGACGAUCAUUUGACUGUGCAGUGCACCAUCACAAUUCUGAAGGAUCUGCCGGAAGUGCCAACCUCAGUGCCCGUGCCCACCUCGAACUUGCACUUGCACUUCGGUGAGCUCCUGCGGAGUGGUACGGGAGCCGAUGUCACGUUCCUCGUCUCCGGUGAGUCCUUCCUUGCUCACAAGCUCAUUCUCGCUGCCAGGUCCCCUGUCCUGAUGGCAGAGUUCUUCGGACACAUGAGGGAGGCAAGUUCUCCAAAUGUUGUGAUCGAGGACAUGGAGCCGGCAGCAUUCAAGGCCAUGCUGCACUUCCUCUACACCGACACCGUGCCUGAACUUGACCAUGAGCUGCAGGCUGUGGCGCCGAUGGCUCAGCAUCUUCUUGCGGCUGCUGACAGGUACGGGCUGGAUAGGCUCAAAGUCCUCUGCGAGGGCAAGCUCUCUGGUGGCAUCACCAUCGACACAGCGGCGACGACUCUGGCAUUGGCUGAACAGCACAACUGCUCGCACCUCAAGACCAAGUGCAUCGAGUUCAUCAUCAGCACUCCUGCAGUCUUUGACGCCGUGGUUGCGACGGAGGGGUAUAGGCAUCUGGAGGCAAGCUGCCCUUCAGCACUUACUAGCAUUCUCCUGUCUAUGCGUGGGAGAAGGUACUGA
RNAcentral lists this ribosomal RNA (1026 nucleotides) under Triticum aestivum (bread wheat). RNAcentral describes it as "partial small subunit ribosomal RNA". The record is from RNAcentral. Lineage: Eukaryota; Viridiplantae; Streptophyta; Magnoliopsida; Poales; Poaceae.